Molecule: ribosomal RNA, 679 nt
Filed under: Systomus orphoides (Javaen barb)
Lineage: Eukaryota; Metazoa; Chordata; Actinopteri; Cypriniformes; Cyprinidae
Description: partial 12S ribosomal RNA
Rfam family: Bacterial small subunit ribosomal RNA
Source: RNAcentral
CCACCGCGGUUAGACGAGAGGCCCUAGUUGAUAUUAUAACGGCGUAAAGGGUGGUUAGGAACAAAAAAGAAUAAAGCCAAAUGGCCCCUUGGCCGUCAUACGCUUCUAGGCGUCCGAAGCCCCACAUACGAAAGUAGCUUUAAUAAAACCCGCCCGACCCCACGAAAGCUAAGAAACAAACUGGGAUUAGAUACCCCACUAUGCUUAGCCGUAAACUUAGACAUCCAACUACAAUAAGAUGCCCGCCAGGGUACUACGAGCACUAGCUUAAAACCCAAAGGACCUGACGGUGUCUCAGAUCCACCUAGAGGAGCCUGUUCUAGAACCGAUAACCCCCGUUCAACCUCACCACUCCUAGCCAUCCCAGCCUAUAUACCGCCGUCGUCAGCUUACCCUGUGAAGGUAAUAAAAGUAAGCAAAAUGAGUACAACCCAGAACGUCAGGUCGAGGUGUAGCGCAUGAAGUGGAAAGAAAUGGGCUACAUUUUCUACUUACAGAAUAUAACGAAUAUGCACCAUGAAAUAGUGCUUAAAGGAGGAUUUAGCAGUAAAAGGGAAAUAGAGUGUCCCUUUGAAUCCGGCUCUGAGACGCGUACACACCGCCCGUCACUCUCCCCAUCAAAACGCAAUAAAAAUAUUUAAUACCAUAGCACCAACAAGGGGAGGCAAGUCGUAACACG